UAGGGAAUCUUCGGCAAUGGACGAAAGUCUGACCGAGCAACGCCGCGUGAGUGAAGAAGGUUUUCGGAUCGUAAAACUCUGUUGUUAGAGAAGAACAAGGGUGAGAGUAACUGUUCACCCCUUGACGGUAUCUAACCAGAAAGCCACGGCUAACUACGUGCCUG
This 164-nucleotide ribosomal RNA is filed under the name uncultured bacterium. RNAcentral describes it as "partial 16S ribosomal RNA". It matches the Rfam family "Bacterial small subunit ribosomal RNA", at positions 355 to 511 of the family's 1533-position model. The record is from RNAcentral.